This 422-nucleotide ribosomal RNA is filed under the name uncultured prokaryote. RNAcentral describes it as "bacterial SSU rRNA". It matches the Rfam family "Bacterial small subunit ribosomal RNA", at positions 355 to 795 of the family's 1533-position model. The record is from RNAcentral.
UGGGGAAUAUUGCCCAAUGGGCGAAAGCCUGAUGCAGCAACGCCGCGUGAGCGAUGAAGGCCUUCGGGUCGUAAAGCUCUGGCCUCAAGGAAGAUAAUGACGGUACUUGAGGAGGAAGCCCCGGCUAACUACGUGCCAGCAGCCGCGGUAAUACGUAGGGGGCUAGCGUUAUCCGGAAUUAAUGGGCGUACAGGGUGCGUAGGUGGUUUCUUAAGUCAGAGGUGAAAGGCUACGGCUCAACCGUAGUAAGCCUUUGAAACUGGGAAACGUGAGUGCAGGAGAGGAGAGUGGAAUUCCGAGUGUAGCGGUGAAAUGCGUAGAUAUUAGGAGGAACACCAGUUGCGAAGGCGGCUCUCUGGACUGUAACUGACACUGAGGCACGAAAGCGUGGGGAGCAAACAGGGUUAGAUACCCGUGGAGUC